CAUCCUAGCAGGGAUUUGAACCCGGGACCUAUGGAUUAGAAGUCCAAGGCACUAUUCAUUGCGCUACUGGGAA
Molecule: non-coding RNA, 73 nt
Organism: Cordylochernes scorpioides
Lineage: Eukaryota; Metazoa; Arthropoda; Arachnida; Pseudoscorpiones; Chernetidae
Source: the annotation of a GenBank genome assembly